UUCUCUCAUGUCUUCCAUUUGCUUUCUUUCUGUCAUGAUGUCAGACCUUAUCUUUUGGAGGUCUUUUCUUUCCUGUUCAAACAUCUUCUUAUCAAUGUCCAUUUCAGUUUUCUCUCGUUCCAGUUCCCUUAUUAUCUGAUCAAGUUCUUCUUUCUCUAUCUUUGCUUUUACUCUCAUUUCUUCUUCUUUCACUUUUUCUUUAAUAAAAUGUUCUUGCAGAGUGUUCAACUCUUGUAAUUGUUGGCUUAUGUCUUGUUGUUCCUGCUCAGCUUUAGUCUUCAGCUCCAUGAUCUUGACUUUGGUCUGUUCUAGACCUUUUCUUUCUUCUUCCAUCUCAUUCUGUUUCAUGAAAUCUUGUUCUUGCAGAGUGUUCAAACAUCUUCUUAUCAUUGUCCAUUUCAGUUUUCUCUCGUUCCAGUUCCCUUAUUAUCUGAUCGAGUUGUUCUCUCUCUAUCUUUGCUUUUACUCUCAUUUCUUCUUCUUUCUCUUUUUCUUUCAUAAUAUGUUCUUGCAGUGUGUUCAACUCUUGAAAUUGUUGGCUUAUGUCAUGUUGUUCCUGCUCAGCUUUAGUCUUCAGCUCCAGGAUCUUGACUUUGGUCUGUUCUAGACCUUUUCUUUCUUCUUCCAUCUCAUUCUGUUUCAUGAAAUCUUGUUCCUUCUGUUGCC
Cyprinus carpio (common carp) is the source of this 666-nucleotide long non-coding RNA. The record is from Ensembl. Lineage: Eukaryota; Metazoa; Chordata; Actinopteri; Cypriniformes; Cyprinidae.